Long non-coding RNA from Fukomys damarensis (Damara mole-rat), 469 nucleotides. RefSeq lists it as uncharacterized. Lineage: Eukaryota; Metazoa; Chordata; Mammalia; Rodentia; Bathyergidae. The record is from RefSeq and is a predicted model, not a curated record. The transcript is spliced from 4 exons.
UCCUCCCUCUCUCCCCCUCCCGCUCUUUUCUCCCUCUCCCUCCAAGUCUGGCACUGAACGAACUGUUUUGCUUUGCUCCGGGAAGAGUGCAGACACAUAACGUGAAAUCCCGAGCUUUUUGCGUGGUGCAUUUGAGAUGCUUCCUUAUUUAUAUUACCCUCAUUCCCUCACCUCUCCCACCCGCUCAGCAGUCCUUCCAAAUUUCCCUAGAAAUCUGUGUAAAGCAUGCGGAGGGGAAAACAUUUGCACAAAAAGUGAAGGAGCUCGCCAAGGAGUUCCCGUCUAGGUGGUCAACUUGUCCUACACCCAGAGGUCUGCCGAAGGGGUGGCCAUGCCCAGAGGUCACAGAAGCCUGGACCAAUGAGCUCAGCAGUCCCAGAAAAAUUAAAAGAUCCUUGGUGGGUCUGAAAAUGGUGCUGGUGGGAGUGACGGUCUUCAUGGAAAGAAUGAAGUUAUCAUAAUCAGUGAA